Stomoxys calcitrans (stable fly) is the source of this 696-nucleotide long non-coding RNA. RefSeq lists it as uncharacterized. Lineage: Eukaryota; Metazoa; Arthropoda; Insecta; Diptera; Muscidae. The transcript is spliced from 2 exons. The record is from RefSeq and is a predicted model, not a curated record.
UUUAGAUAAUGUGUUGAUUUCCUAUGUCAUUGGCCGGCUUUUUCGGCCAACAGACACCGGUACUUAGGUUUGGACAAAAUACGAGACAUGAACCAACUUAGGGGCGUGGUAUGGAAAACAAUUAAGGAUUUUACAUAUCACAGAUGGCUCAACAUUUUCCGAUUACGUCUUCCCUACAAAAGAGGCCAGAAAUAAAUUCUUCGGAAGACCAUUUACAGGAUCACAUUAAAAUCCUAAUCGUUUUCCAAGAACCCUUUACCCUCUUGGAAUACGCCCUAAAGUUUUGGCAAUAAAUUUCAAUUUUGAUGUGCGUAGUAUGCAAACUUACUUACGAACAUUCAAUUAAGGAUCAGUGGACACUUUGCUUUCAACAAUGCGUGCAACACAAUUGAUUUUUGACUCAAUGAUAAGGGAUCUCCCUUUUAUAAGCGAGUCCGAACUGCGUGCUGCUUGGCGGAUACCCACAAAUGUCUCGAGCAUCAGUAAGCGAAUAUCAACUGCUGAUAUAUGCUACUGAUUUUAUUGGCGGGAUUUGAGCCAAAGCGUUUAGAGUCGUAGUCGUACAUUCCUAACCUCUGCGCCAAGUUGGCGUCCUUGUGCAGAGUAUAAACCACAAACUCCUUCUAACGUUGGCUUUGCUCAAUUAAUUUAUGAUGUUGAUGGUAAAGUACAACAAAUGUUUUAAAAUAGGGAUGA